UCCUGAAGUUGUCCACUGGGUCAAAGAGGACCACUUUCUGCAAUGGAGGACUGUUCUUCAGUUAAGGGUUCAAGCAGUGGCUGAAGGCUCCUGCUAGAAUGUUCAAAGGAGCGCUCAAGGUGGGGUUCACUCUGUAACCCAGGCUGGCCUCAAAC
This 155-nucleotide small RNA is filed under the name Peromyscus maniculatus bairdii (prairie deer mouse). Its description in RNAcentral is "7SK RNA (ENSPEMG00000003023.2)". The record is from RNAcentral. Lineage: Eukaryota; Metazoa; Chordata; Mammalia; Rodentia; Cricetidae.